Molecule: ribosomal RNA, 517 nt
Filed under: Salmonella enterica subsp. enterica serovar Aba
Lineage: Bacteria; Pseudomonadati; Pseudomonadota; Gammaproteobacteria; Enterobacterales; Enterobacteriaceae
Description: partial 23S ribosomal RNA
Rfam family: Bacterial large subunit ribosomal RNA
Source: RNAcentral
AUGUGGGAAGGCUCAGACAGCCAGGAUGUUGGCUUAGAAGCAGCCAUCAUUUAAAGAAAGCGUAAUAGCUCACUGGUCGAGUCGGCCUGCGCGGAAGAUGUAACGGGGCUAAACUGUGCACCGAAGCUGCGGCAGCGACACUCUGUGUUGUUGGGUAGGGGAGCGUUCUGUAAGCCUGCGAAGGUGUCUCGUGAGGGAUGCUGGAGGUAUCAGAAGUGCGAAUGCUGACAUAAGUAACGAUAAUGCGGGUGAAAAACCCGCACGCCGGAAGACCAAGGGUUCCUGUCCAACGUUAAUCGGGGCAGGGUGAGUCGACCCCUAAGGCGAGGCCGAAAGGCGUAGUCGAUGGGAAACAGGUUAAUAUUCCUGUACUUGGUGUUACUGCGAAGGGGGGACGGAGAAGGCUAUGUUAGCCGGGCGACGGUUGUCCCGGUUUAAGCAUGUAGGCGGGUGUUUUAGGUAAAUCCGGAACGCUACUAACGCUGAGGUGUGAUGACGAGGCACUACGGUGCUGAAG